GAUACAGACAAUUAUAUUGAUAGAUCUCAAAAUGUAUCUGCAAUAUUAAAGCAGAUCUCUCCCCCACACACACGUUUUUGAAUAACUCUUGCUGAAUGUGGAGAAUGGACUAUGACCAGCUAGCUCUCUGACACACAGCUUGAUGAUGGCAAUGACGCCUCUACUGAGGACAGUCCAGAGCCUCCAAAGGAACCACAAGGACCAGUGAAGGACCAUCGACUGAGCCCAGGGAAGGUCUCUGGUCCUGUGUCUGGCAAGACAGGCUGGCCUCUCUCCUCUUGUGACCUCAGCACCCCGGACCCUGGCUGAAGCCCUACGGGCCCUGCCCUCUGCUGUGGCCCCUCCCUCCCCAGAUAAUGUCCCGAGGCCUCUGACUCCUCUCAGCCCAGUCAUUAUCACUCCGUCCUCUACAGAGAACUUCCCAUACCGCCGCAGCCCUCGGCUGGCCCCCAUAACCAACCUGAGUGUAACCGCCCCCACAGGAAGGGAAGGUCAAUAAGAAAAAGAAGUGCAAGGCCAAAAAAGAAUUGAAGCAAAAGAAGGCCGGUAAGAUGCAACGG
This is a long non-coding RNA of Oncorhynchus kisutch (coho salmon), 560 nucleotides long. RefSeq lists it as uncharacterized. Lineage: Eukaryota; Metazoa; Chordata; Actinopteri; Salmoniformes; Salmonidae. The record is from RefSeq and is a predicted model, not a curated record. The transcript has 3 exons.